UGAACCAAUGUCUGCCAAUGUU
Molecule: unclassified non-coding RNA, 22 nt
Filed under: Mus musculus (house mouse)
Lineage: Eukaryota; Metazoa; Chordata; Mammalia; Rodentia; Muridae
Description: oocyte_clustered_small_RNA5182
Source: RNAcentral